Molecule: long non-coding RNA, 201 nt
Filed under: Musa acuminata (dwarf banana)
Lineage: Eukaryota; Viridiplantae; Streptophyta; Magnoliopsida; Zingiberales; Musaceae
Description: long non-coding RNA (MACU_LNC008162)
Source: RNAcentral
GGGUCAGUUUACCGAAAAAUUUCAGAUCCAUGAUUUUUGUAUCUAACAAGAGAAAUAUCAGGUUCUAGGCUGAAAUCUUUCGAAUAAUUCAGAAUAAAUAUGAGAUCAAAGACUAAUAAUUCUGUAGGAUGGGAUUAGAACACUUGCCUUUGAGAAUUAUGACCCUAAAUGAGAAGAUUUGAGCAAGAAACCUCAAAGCCC